Molecule: ribosomal RNA, 486 nt
Filed under: uncultured bacterium
Lineage: Bacteria
Description: partial 16S ribosomal RNA
Rfam family: Bacterial small subunit ribosomal RNA
Source: RNAcentral
GAUGAACGCUGGCGGCGUGCCUAAUACAUGCGAGUCGAACGCUGGAAAUCUAGCUUGCUAGAUUGAAGGAGUGGCGAACGGGUGAGUAAUACAUAAGCAACCUACCCACGAAGACUGGGAUAAUCUCUGGAAACGGGGACUAAUACCGGAUAGGUAAUCGGAAGGCAUCUUCUGAUUAUUAAAGGUUAAAAACACUGGUGGAUGGGCUUAUGGCGCAUUAGUUAGUUGGUGAGGUAACGGCCCACCAAGACGAUGAUGCGUAGCCGGCCUGAGAGGGUGAACGGCCACAUUGGGACUGAGACACGGCCCAGACUCCUACGGGAGGCAGCAGUAGGGAAUUUUCGGCAAUGGGGGAAACCCUGACCGAGCAACGCCGCGUGAGUGAUGACGGCCUUCGGGUUGUAAAGCUCUGUUGUAAGGGAAGAACGGUAGAUAGAGAAUAUCUAAAUGACGGUACCUUACCAGAAAGCCACGGCUAACUACGUG